GAUGAACGCUGGCGGCGUGCCUAAUACAUGCAAGUAGAACGCUGAAGGAGGAGCUUGCUCUUCUGGAUGAGUUGCGAACGGGUGAGUAACGCGUAGGUAACCUGCCUGUUAGCGGGGGAUAACUAUUGGAAACGAUAGCUAAUACCGCAUGACAACAGUUAUUGCAUGAUAACUGUUUAAAAGGGGCAACUGCUCCGCUACCAGAUGGACCUGCGUUGUAUUAGCUAGUUGGUGAGGUAACGGCUCACCAAGGCGACGAUACAUAGCCGACCUGGGAGGGUGAUCGGCCACACUGGGACUGAGACACGGCCCAGACUCCUACGGGAGGCAGCAGUAGGGAAUCUUCGGCAAUGGACGGAAGUCUGACCGAGCAACGCCGCGUGAGUGAAGAAGGGUUUCGGAUCGUAAAGCUCUGUUGUAAGGGAAGAACGAGUGUGAGAGUGGAAAGUUCACACUGUGACGGUAUCUUACCAGAAAGAGACGGCUAACUACGUG
Molecule: ribosomal RNA, 495 nt
Filed under: uncultured bacterium
Lineage: Bacteria
Description: partial 16S ribosomal RNA
Rfam family: Bacterial small subunit ribosomal RNA
Source: RNAcentral